UCAGGGGCCACAGGGAAAAUAUCAACUCCAGUAAUGACACAAGAGAGUUUAUUUACAUGGGUAGAGGGAAAAGACACUUGUUUGAAGGCUUCAGAGAAAACAACAUCCUUGCAUUUGGACACAGCGGGGUUCCCGUCUGAUUGACUGAGUGGACAAAGUUCUCGUAGUCCUCUUAUUGUUCGACGGCUUUUGAAAUUCUCCCGGUCUGGGAAUGAAACGCCUGUGGCAGAGGAUGAUAAAUUAGAGGAUGCUGCGUCAAAAUUGAAACUUUGACAAUUGCAUCUGGAGAUCCCUGCAUUCUGUUGCGCUUUGUCCUGCUGUCAAGAACACUUCCGGCAUGAGCGGCUCUCAUUCAAUGGCUGUGCUGCUUGUGAGGUGCUGAAACCCAAGAAGGGAGGAAGAGCACGCUGUCCGGGAGAACUAGCCGCUGCCGUCCACUAGGAGGCAGAGGAACCGCUGCCAUCCACCAGGAAGGGGAGGAGCCGUUGCAUCUGCCAGGGGACAGAGGACCCACUGCCUUCCGCCGGGAGGCGGAGGAACUGCUGCCGUAUGCCAGGGGACUGAGAAGCUGCUGGCAGCAGCCAGGAGGUGGAGGAGUCCACUGUUGUCCGCCAGGUGGCGGAGGAGUGGCUGAGGACCAGGUGGGUGGCGUGCCCGCGGGCACCGGAGUUUUUUUUCUUUUCUCUCUCUCUUCCCUCUCUCUCUCGGGCU
This is a long non-coding RNA of Myxocyprinus asiaticus (Chinese sucker), 711 nucleotides long. RefSeq lists it as uncharacterized. The record is from RefSeq and is a predicted model, not a curated record. The transcript has 3 exons. Lineage: Eukaryota; Metazoa; Chordata; Actinopteri; Cypriniformes; Catostomidae.